CGCGGGGUGGAGCAGCCCGGUAGCUCGUCAGGCUCAUAACCUGAAGGCCGCAGGUUCAAAUCCUGCCCCCGCA
RNAcentral lists this transfer RNA (73 nucleotides) under Rhizobium leguminosarum. RNAcentral describes it as "tRNA-Met". It matches the Rfam family "tRNA". Rfam says of the family: Transfer RNA (tRNA) molecules are approximately 80 nucleotides in length. Their secondary structure includes four short double-helical elements and three loops (D, anti-codon, and T loops). Further hydrogen bonds mediate the characteristic L-shaped molecular structure. tRNAs have two regions of fundamental functional importance: the anti-codon, which is responsible for specific mRNA codon recognition, and the 3' end, to which the tRNAs corresponding amino acid is attached (by aminoacyl-tRNA synthetases). tRNAs cope with the degeneracy of the genetic code in two manners: having more than one tRNA (with a specific anti-codon) for a particular amino acid; and 'wobble' base-pairing, i.e. permitting non-standard base-pairing at the 3rd anti-codon position. Lineage: Bacteria; Pseudomonadati; Pseudomonadota; Alphaproteobacteria; Hyphomicrobiales; Rhizobiaceae. RNAcentral also lists the same sequence under 7 other names. The record is from RNAcentral.